Molecule: small nucleolar RNA, 148 nt
Filed under: Amborella trichopoda
Lineage: Eukaryota; Viridiplantae; Streptophyta; Magnoliopsida; Amborellales; Amborellaceae
Description: Small nucleolar RNA snoR2/U65
Rfam family: Small nucleolar RNA snoR2/U65
Source: Rfam by way of RNAcentral
GUUUGAAUGAGCUCCUAUCGUUGUAGGAUAUAAUAAUACAAGAGUUACAUAUUAAAGGGGAUUAGUUUCUCUUAUUUCGCAUUUUGAUAGGAUCCUGUGGAUCUCAAUUUUCCAUUAGUCCACAGAACCGGUUUUUGCGAUUACACUC